GGUAAAUCGCGAGUUGUUCCAGGAGGUAGCAGUAUUUUUCUGGUAGGUCCCGCCACUCACAAAAAGCCGACCCAUUUCUGCAUUCUCUGCUCUUCCUAAUCUAUGAUGAUCGUUUAUAAAUUUGGAGCCCUCGCUCCCCAACACAAAAGGCCUUUUCUUUUUAAUCCCAUUAAAAUAUUGUUUUGACUUCAAACUAGCAAACUUGAGUGGCAUUUCUCCGGUUUUUCGCUUUAUUUUUGACUCCGAAGUUUUUUCCACUAGUUUUUGAACUCCGGCGAUGCCUACGCCGGUCGGAGUAGCCAAGCAAUGCUUGACGCCGGAUGCAUCUCGAGCUCUCGAAGAAGCCGUCUCCGUGGCGCGCCGUCGUGGGCACCCCCAGACCACCUCGCUCCAUGCUGUCUCCGCCUUGCUUUCGUUGCCGUCGUCUACCUUACGUGACGCGUGUGCUCGUGCCCGGAGCUGUGCCUACUCGCCUCGGCUUCAAUUCAAGGCGCUAGAGCUGUGCCUGAGCGUAUCGCUCGACCGGGUCCCCUCGACUCAACUCGCUGACGACCCGCCAGUCUCUAACUCGCUCAUGGCCGCCAUCAGGCGCUCCCAGGCUAGUCAGAGAAGGCAGCCUGAGAAUUUCCACAUUUACCAUCAAAUCUCGCAGCAGCCUACUUCGGUUUCGUGUGUGAAGGUCGAGCUUCAACAUUUGAUAUUAUCGAUUCUCGACGACCCCGUCGUGAGCCGGGUAUUCGGCGAAGCGGGUUUUCGAAGCUCCGAAAUUAAACUUGCUAUUCUUCGACCUCUCCCGCAGCUUCUCAGGUACUCACGCUCCAGAGUUCCCCCUAUAUUCCUGUGCAAUUUGACGGAGCAUCCGGACCCGGGUCGUCGGAGCUUCAGUUUCCCGUUUCCCGGUUCUUUCGGGACGUGCGACGGCGGCGCUGAGAACUACAAAAGAAUCGGAGACUUGCUUUGCAGGAGCAGAGGGAGGAAUCCCCUGCUUCUGGGUGUAUGCGCAGAUGAUGCUCUGCGUAGUUUCACAGAAGAUGUUAAUAAACAAAGAGAUGGUAUUUUGCCAGUGGAGUUAUCCGGAUUGCGCGUGACAUGCAUAGGAACAGAUAUUUCCAAGUUUGUCCUUGAGAAUAGUGAUAACGAGACUUUCAGUUCAAGGCUUAAGGAGAUUGCUCAAAUGAUAGAACAGGGAGUGGGACCUGGUUUGGUGGCGAAUUUUGGGGACCUGAAGUCUUUGGUUGAUGAGAAUGCCUCAAAUGAAGCAGUGAAUUAUGUUGUUGCUGAAUUAGCGAAAUUGUUGGAGCUUAAUUAUGGCAAGUUUUGGUUGAUGGGAGCUGCGGCGAGCUAUGAGAGCUAUCUGAAAUUUAUGGGAAGGUUUCCAUCUAUUGAGAAGGAUUGGGACUUGCAGCUUCUGCCUAUCACGUCUACUCGGCCUCAGGAUGAAUCGCCUAGGCACAGCUUAAUGGAUUCAUUUGUCCCAUUUGGCGGCUUGUUUUCUUCACCUUCUAAUUUGAAAGGUCCGCUACACGGCUCAUAUUAUUGUGUUCCCCGUUGCCUGCAAUGUGGUGGAAGUUGUGUGCAAGAAGUGCUUCCAGCUUCAAAUGAGAGGCUGUCUGCUGAUCCUUACCAAUCUAAUUUACCUCCAUGGUUAGGGACUGCUGACCUUGGCAUAACAAAAGGGUUGAAUGGUAAGACAAAAGAAGACAGUGUUCGGCUGGAUACUAGUGAAUCUGGACCUAUCAAGAAAUUGGACAAGCCAAGCCAGCAUCUGCAUGAUACUCAGCAAUUCCCUGAAGCGAUUCCUUGUCAAACUGUCAUGAGUUCCCGAUGCUCUGAUGGUGAAAAGGAAGAUGUUGACAAUCACAGCAGAAAAAUUUCAGAUGCAUCACCUAGCGUGUACAUCGAUCUCAAUUCGAGUGCGCCCAUCGCAGAGCAGAUGAUUUCUACAACACAUUCAAGUAGUCCUGUUCCUGUGGUUUCGAAAUCAGAUCAGGAUAACCCUAUUGCAAAAGCCGUAGAGAUACUCCAGAAAACGAAAGAUCUUGACUCAGGUGACCUAGGAUCAUGCAACAUGUCCAAUUCAAGCAUGUGUGAUGGUGGCCAAUUGUCUCCCUCGUCUGUGACUUCUGUAACCACAGAUCUAGGUAUAGGAAUUUCCUUUUCUCCUACAAGCAACAAAUCUAAAAACCCAACCAUGGGGGGUCUAAAGGAAAUUGCGAGUCCCCUCUCUUCAAGCUAUAAUUUAGUUAACAGGGAUGUCUUUAAGCAUCCAGCCCAGUCUUCAUCCUGCUUAAGUUCUGACCAUUCUGGACGACAUGAUCUAAUAAAUCCUAAAAUUCUUCUUGAAGCUCUUGCCAAAAAGGUUACCUGGCAGGUUGAAGCCUUACAAAGCAUUGUAAAAGCAAUAGCUUACAGUGAAACAAGCAGGGGCAAAUGCCUAGGAGCAAAUCAACGAGGGGCCAUAUGGAUGAAUUUUGUAGGAACUGACAGGAUUGGUAAAAAGAAAAUUGCUGUUUCUUUGGCUGAGAUUUUGUAUGGAAGCCAGGAAAGCUUUAUUUUUGUUGAUCUCAAUCGUGAGGAAAUAAAUGGACAUGAUGCGAAAUUUAGAGGAAAGACUAUUCUCGAUGUUUUAGUUGGGGAGUUGUGCAAAAAUCCGUUGUCUGUUGUUUUCCUUGACAAUGUAGACAUGGCUGAUAUGAUGGUUCAAAAUAGUUUAUCUCAAGCCAUCAAGACUGGAAAAAUUAUAGACUCGUGUGGGAGAGAAGUUGGUGCAAACAAUGCGAUAAUUGUGACAUCUUUCUCAGUUCAAGAAGAUCAAUGGAAUUGCAGGCCAAAGACAGAAUUCUCAGGCUAUUCUGAGGAAAGAAUAUCAAGAACAAAAGGGGCACCUAUCAAGAUAAAAGUUGAACAUGUAAUUGGAGACACCAGAAGCCCAAGCCUUACUGUACUUAAAUGUUCAACAGAUGGCGUUCCCAAUCCAAUCCCUGUAAAUAAAAGAAAGCUGAGUUGCGACAAUGCCCUUAAUGAUCAGCACAAAACCUCAGAAAUGGCUAAAAGGGCUCACAAAAUUUCAAACUGUUUUCUAGAUUUGAAUGCCCCAGCAGAAGAGAACGAACUGCAAUUCACGGAUGAUGGAAAACCUGAAGGUGUCUCAACUGCCACGCUAAACCCCUGGUUGCAAGAACUGUAUAAUCAGGUUGAUGAAACAAUCAUCUUGAAACCAUAUAAUUUUGAUGCACUUGCAGAUAGGGUCUUAAACAUUAUCAGAAGGAGCUUCCACAGCAUUCUCGGAUCUGAGUGCUCACUACAGAUAGAGUCAGAAGUCAUGGAACAGUUACUUGCAGCUGCAUAUGUCUCAGAACGGGACAUGGAAGUUGAGGAUUGGGUGGAGCAAGUUCUCACUGGAGGAUUUACAGAGAUACAGCAAAGAUAUAAAAGAGAAGAGGAAGUAAAGAAAUCCUUAUGCCAAGAAACAGCAUAGGCAUCAAUAACAGGGACUGAGUGAGAUGCGGAGAUCUAGUGGUGUCCGUAUUUGACCUGCUCAACCUGCAAUUGAGCCUGAGCUCUGAAGGGAUCCGGGCAUGGCAUCCGCUAGUCCGAGCCCACUCAAUGAUAAAAAAGAUGGUUAAGGACUUGACCAGGUACCCUCACUUACGAUGUCAACAACUUCGAUGCACUCCUGGAAGUUCAUAAUCUAUGUUCUGGAUGAUGUCAAAAGGAAAAGUUCAUGAUCCAGGGUCCCCUAGUCUGAGCAUUGAAGGUGCGGACCAUAGUAAAGCACCGAAAAAUUCUUUGUACUGUCCUCCGAUGUUAACUGACUGCAUGAUUACAAGAUGGAAUAUUUACUUCCCAGCAGAAAAAGGGAAGCUUGUGCUUUGCAUGGACUUCCAAAUGAAUCAUGGGAUGAAUCAUAGAGGAUGGCUUUCAUUGGGUACUGUUCAUAGUGAUUGCUGGGUGCUCUCAAUGGCCUUAUGGUUUUGUGUCUCACUUAGUUAGAACAACAGGAAUGAAAUUACCAAUAAGAGUUGAUUCAGUUGGUAAGAAGUUGACACAUAACCCACAAGACCAUGAGUUUGAAUCCUGCUACCAAUGUAAGGAUCUGGUUGGUAGGUGAUCUGUAAGUAUUUCUAUAAGCGCUUUUUGAACAUGGAAAUAUGUCUUAACCCUGAUGAGUUCUCAAGACCUAACUCAACUAAACUUUUUCAUACAAAAAAAACACGGAUGAAAUCAGGACUUUCUUGCUACUGUUACUCCAUUAUUAACCAAAAUGUAAGGAGUAUAUGCCACUCUUCUUUGGGAUUUAGUAUUGGUUAUUCGUAUAUCUUCCUUCAGUUACCUUCAAAUUUAUACAUACUAAGAAAAGUGGUUAAAUAUUAGCUAAAACAUUGGAGUUAUAUUCUUAUUAAUUGUAUUAAAUCUUUCCGUCAUAUUAAUUCAUGCUUUCCACUACUCUUGCUUGGUAGUUCCUAAUGUAGGGUAUAUAUACAAAAAAAUUAUUUAUGCUCUGCGUAUCAUCCAACCCCUCCCCCCUUGUGGGGAGCAGGGGGUGUUCAUCCUCAUGAUAUUAAGCAGAAGGACCGUGUAAAGACUGACGAAUUUAACAUAUUAUGCCUUGCAAUUUCGACUGAAACACGAUUAAUCUCUUGUUAUGGAAUGCAGGCUCACGCUUGGAGCUCCACUUCUCUGCAUCCUAUGCAGAAGAUUAGCCCAGAGCAGAAACAAUGGAUUGAACCACAAGAAUCUGAGACAAUUGAAUUUGAAAGACUUGUGAAUGAAGGGAUUCUUAGCCACCAUUCAAUUAUGUUGCAGUGGAAAGAGGGACUUGACAUCUCAAUCAAAAGCAUUGGAUUGAAUGGAAUUACCUUUACUGGUGAAAGAAUCGCGGUGGGACAUGGCUGAUCAGCUCAUGAAAACAACCGGUCCUUGCAUUCCAAAUUCCCCAUAGGUUAUCCAACAAAGAUAAAUUCAAGAAUCAUGAUAGGCAUCUCUCUCUCUCUGUGUAUCUCAAAAGUGGAAAAGCCAGCUAAUGACGUUAUGUUUUUUAUUGAACAGCACCCUAACAAGCAAAUAUGAAACAACGUACUGGUCUUGUCAGGUUCUUUUCUCUGAAUUUUGAUUAACAUCAGAUCAACAGUGAUUAAGCUUUGAAAAA
RNA transcript from Neltuma alba, 5149 nucleotides. It is a transcript of the gene named protein SMAX1-LIKE 6-like, with no coding region annotated. The record is from RefSeq and is a predicted model, not a curated record. The transcript has 6 exons. Lineage: Eukaryota; Viridiplantae; Streptophyta; Magnoliopsida; Fabales; Fabaceae.